RNAcentral lists this ribosomal RNA (462 nucleotides) under uncultured ammonia-oxidizing beta proteobacterium. RNAcentral's name for it is "bacterial SSU rRNA". It matches the Rfam family "Bacterial small subunit ribosomal RNA", at positions 202 to 647 of the family's 1533-position model. Lineage: Bacteria; Pseudomonadati; Pseudomonadota; Betaproteobacteria. The record is from RNAcentral.
AAGCAGGGGAUCGUAAGACCUUGCGCUUUUGGAGUGGCCGAUGCCUGAUUAGCUAGUUGGUGGGGUAAGGGCCUACCAAGGCAACGAUCAGUAGUUGGUCUGAGAGGACGACCAGCCACACUGGGACUGAGACACGGCCCAGACUCCUACGGGAGGCAGCAGUGGGGAAUUUUGGACAAUGGGCGAAAGCCUGAUCCAGCAAUGCCGCGUGAGUGAAGAAGGCCUUCGGGUUGUAAAGCUCUUUCAGUCGGGAAGAAAAGGUUGUGACUAAUAAUCACAAUUCAUGACGGUACCGACAGAAGAAGCACCGGCUAACUACGUGCCAGCAGCCGCGGUAAUACGUAGGGUGCAAGCGUUAAUCGGAAUUACUGGGCGUAAAGGGUGCGCAGGCGGCUUUGUAAGUCAGAUGUGAAAUCCCCGGGCUUAACCUGGGAAUUGCGUUUGAAACUACAAGACUAGAGU